AUUGCCUCAGUAACGGCGAGUGAAGCGGCAACAGCUCAAAUUUGAAAUCUGGCCUCACGGUCCGAGUUGUAAUUUGGAGAGGAUGUUUUGGGCACCGCCCCCGGUUAAUUUUCUUGGAACAGAGAAUCAGAGAGGGUGAGAAUCCCGUCUUGGCCGGGGGUAGGACCUGUGUAAAACUCCUUCGACGAGUCGACUUGUUUGGGAAUGCAGGUCAAAAUGGGUGGUAAAUUUCAUCUAAAGCUAAAUAUUGGCCAGAGACCGAUAGCGCACAAGUAGAGUGAUCGAAAGAUGAAAAGCACUUUGAAAAGAGAGUUAAACAGUAUGUGAAAUUGUUGAAAGGGAAGCGCUGGCAACCAGACUCGAGCGCGGUGUUCGCCACGGCUUCUGCCGUGGUUACUUCACCGUGACCGGGCCAUCAUCAGUUUUGGGGGUCGGUCAAGGACCCUGGGAACGUACCUACCGCUUCGGGGGUAGACUUAUAGCCCAGGGCGUCAUGCGGCCUCCCGGGACUGAGGAACGCGCUUCGGCGAGGAUGAUGGCGUAAUGGUUGUCAGCGA
Molecule: ribosomal RNA, 557 nt
Filed under: Trichomeriaceae sp.
Lineage: Eukaryota; Fungi; Ascomycota; Eurotiomycetes; Chaetothyriales; Trichomeriaceae
Description: partial large subunit ribosomal RNA
Rfam family: Eukaryotic large subunit ribosomal RNA
Source: RNAcentral